RNAcentral lists this long non-coding RNA (728 nucleotides) under Bemisia tabaci. Its description in RNAcentral is "lncRNA ENSASIAIIG000613". The record is from RNAcentral. Lineage: Eukaryota; Metazoa; Arthropoda; Insecta; Hemiptera; Aleyrodidae.
CUGCGGGUGCGGGGGUGCAGAGUGCGAGUGCGGAUCUGCAGACAGGAAACAUCGAUGCCCCCGACUGCGCACCAGACAGUUUUCGAUGGAAAUUCGGCAGACUUGUCGUCAACCCAACCCUACCCUCAAAACUGUGUUGUUUAUUUACAAAUUUGUCUCAGAGUCUCAGAAAUUUACCGGAGGUCCUCUGUGCGGAGGUCUUACACUGGUCUUACAUGGUCUUCUUACCCUUACCAGUUUGUAAUGUUACCGUUACCCGUUACCCUCUCUAAGUGUUGUGCAGUUUGCAGUUAUACUUGAGUCUCUGUAAUGUUUAUUCGAACGUCAUGAACUGUUCGCAAGGUGCAGCUCUAUUUAGAUGAAGUGUCAGUUGCAUCAUUCUCACCAUGGAUCGAAUGGACCAUCACAGAAUGAAAUCAUCCAGAAACAGACCAUCUCAUGGCUCUUCCCUGGAAAAGAUAAUGGAUAAGCGGAGAAAGGAGAGGGAAGAAAUCAAUUUAAUCGGUGUCCCUCAGGUUUGGGGUAAAUCACCCCUGCGCACAGUAGAAUCAGACGAUGAAGUUAAACCUGAAGAUAGUCUGAAAAGGAAACAUUCAGAGUUAGAUAAUCGAAAAAAGAAGAAGAAGAGUAAAUCCAUCAAGCAUAAAAAGGAAAAAUCAAAAGGAAAGGAAAAGGUAACGUUGCAGCUUUUAACUUUUAAUCCUUCAUAUUUAUCAGGUUAAACUUAA